Molecule: ribosomal RNA, 253 nt
Filed under: uncultured bacterium
Lineage: Bacteria
Description: partial 16S ribosomal RNA
Rfam family: Bacterial small subunit ribosomal RNA
Source: RNAcentral
UACGGGGGGGGCAAGCGUUGUUCGGAAUUACUGGGCGUAAAGGGCUCGUAGGUGGCCAACUAAGUCAGACGUGAAAUCCCCAGGCUCAACUUGGGAACUGCGUCUGAUACUGGAUGGCUUGAAUUCGGGAGAGGGAUGCAGAAUUCCAGGUGUAGCAGUGAAAUGCGUAGAUAUCUGGAGGAAUACCGGUGGCGAAGGCGGCAUCCUGGACCGAGAUUGACACUGAUGAGCGAAAGCUAGGGGAGCAAACGGG